AUGGCGACUCUCGGCUCACCACCAUGGAGCCUCCUCUGCGCUCUCGGGGCCCUGCUGGCCGCGCUGUGGUGCGCCGGCCGGGCGCUGACCGGCGCCUGGCUCCGCCCGCGGAGGCUGGCCCAGACCCUGCGGUCCCAGGGCGUCCGCGGCACGCAGUACCGCUUCCCCUCCGGCGACAUGAACAAGUACGUGCGGCUCAUCGCGGCGGCGUGCUCCCAGCCCAUGCCGAUGUCCUCACACGCCGUCGCCGCCCUAGCAGUGCCGUUCGACCAUGCCAUCAUCAAGCAACAUGGUAAAGUUGCUCUAACUUGGUUCGGUCCGGAGCCGAGGGUGGUGGUGAGCGACCCUCAGCUGUUCCGGGAGAUCCUGUCGAACAAGCAGGGCCAGUUCGGGAAGCACAGGUCCAUCCUCCGGAUCGAGCGCCUCUUGGCCAACGGCCUGACGACUCACCAGGGCGACAAGUGGGUCGCCCACCGCAGGAUCAUCAACCACGCCUUCCAUCUCCAGAAGCUCAAGAGGAUGUUGCCUGCUUUCGCGGCCUCUUCAAGCGAAUUGGUGCGGAGAUGGGGAAGCUCUAUGGGGAAGGGUGAUGUGCAGGAGAUAGAUGUGUGGCCAGAGUUUCAGAACCUCACGGGCGACGUGAUAUCCCGAGUGGCGUUCGGGAGCAGCUUCAGUGAAGGGAGAAAGAUCUUCCAGUUGCAGUCAGAGCAGGCGCAAAAUGCUGUCAAGAUGGCAAACGUGAUGUACAUUCCAGGCUACAGGUUCCUGCCAACAAAGCUCAAUUGA
This 786-nucleotide ribosomal RNA is filed under the name Triticum aestivum (bread wheat). RNAcentral's name for it is "partial small subunit ribosomal RNA". The record is from RNAcentral. Lineage: Eukaryota; Viridiplantae; Streptophyta; Magnoliopsida; Poales; Poaceae.